AGAGUUUCCCACGUUUUAUUAGUUUACUAACAGUACUUGUUAUCAGUAUUCAAGGCAACAUACGAGCUAGUACGCGAGCGUGACAUGAAUACAGGUUUAAUAUUUAUCUGCGUAGAUGACGUAAUCGGCCAUGCAAAUGCAAUGCCUAAAACGCAGCGUUGUCACAGACUAACUACCUAGGUAACUGUUACCUAAUUAAGGCAGUGUGUUCAAUAUACGAAUGUGCUCUGCUAAGUAUGUAUUAAAUAUUUUCAAAAAAAUAACUAAAAUCUGCAGGACGUUCCUCCAUAAUAUUGCUAUUACGUCAUUAAAGCUAGUGUAUUACUCCGUAGGUAGAUUCAAUUCGACCAAUUCAUAACAGUCGCGUUGUGAUUGUGACAUCAAUUUUGUUAGGUCAGUAGCUACACGAGCGGCGUGCCCCUGAGAGACUAUCAACAAUGAAGCCAGUCGCGGACUGAACAGCACAAUCGCAGUUGUCUCACAGACUCACGGACGUACAAGUUGCCAGUGAUUGUGACACGAAUAAAAAUACGAACAAUCUGCUUAGCCUAAGUCUAUUUACUGAAAAGUUUUUUUUUUUUUUGUUUUUUUGUGUGUUAAUUUCUCAUUGCAUAGAACUAGAACAGAACGUAGGAUGACGUCACCUGCAAUUACAAAAUCUCCAGAAAACCAAAAAGCCGAAAAAAAGUCUCCAUCGCAUUCGGCGCGCACUCCCGAGAGAGUGCCCUCUAGCACCGACAAUACCGCAUCUUCUGCCGCUGGGGCCACGGCCCUUCAAGGCCCAUCAGAAACAUUUAGCUGGCUACGAAUCUUUAAACUUGCAGAUCUUAUGAUGAAACAGGGUUGUUAAGCCCUAGAAAGUUGACAAUUCAGUUUAUCAUUGUUAUUCAACAAAGAUGUGAAGCUAGCAAUAAUUAGACAUUGUAGAAAUAGGCAAAAAUAGAUCUUUAUUAGGUACUUGUUAUCAGUGGUUAUAUCUGCAGUAACACUAAUGUGAUUAGUUGUUAAAUGUUUCGUUAAAUCAAAUAAAGGCCAACUUGUCUCACGUCACACGCUUCGGCAGUUGGAGCAAGUCCCAAAA
This 1081-nucleotide long non-coding RNA is filed under the name Helicoverpa zea (corn earworm). Its description in RNAcentral is "uncharacterized LOC124638855". The record is from RNAcentral. Lineage: Eukaryota; Metazoa; Arthropoda; Insecta; Lepidoptera; Noctuidae.